Molecule: ribosomal RNA, 512 nt
Filed under: Nakaseomyces glabratus
Lineage: Eukaryota; Fungi; Ascomycota; Saccharomycetes; Saccharomycetales; Saccharomycetaceae
Description: LSU rRNA
Rfam family: Eukaryotic large subunit ribosomal RNA
Source: RNAcentral
AGCGGCAAAAGCUCAAAUUUGAAAUCUGGUACCUUUGGUGCCCGAGUUGUAAUUUGGAGAGUACCACUUUGGGACUGUACUUUGCCUAUGUUCCUUGGAACAGGACGUCAUGGAGGGUGAGAAUCCCGUGUGGCGAGGGUGUCAGUUCUUUGUAAAGGGUGCUCGAAGAGUCGAGUUGUUUGGGAAUGCAGCUCUAAGUGGGUGGUAAAUUCCAUCUAAAGCUAAAUACAGGCGAGAGACCGAUAGCGAACAAGUACAGUGAUGGAAAGAUGAAAAGAACUUUGAAAAGAGAGUGAAAAAGUACGUGAAAUUGUUGAAAGGGAAGGGCAUUUGAUCAGACAUGGUGUUUUGCGCCCCUUGCCUCUCGUGGGCUUGGGACUCUCGCAGCUCACUGGGCCAGCAUCGGUUUUGGCGGCCGGAAAAAACCUAGGGAAUGUGGCUCUGCGCCUCGGUGUAGAGUGUUAUAGCCCUGGGGAAUACGGCCAGCCGGGACCGAGGACUGCGAUACUUGU